This is a long non-coding RNA of Gallus gallus (chicken), 1252 nucleotides long. The record is from Ensembl. Lineage: Eukaryota; Metazoa; Chordata; Aves; Galliformes; Phasianidae.
UAUUUUCUCUGCUGCAGCUAUCAUCCUAAAUAACAUCAGCCCACCAGUGACAGAGGCUUUACAGUGCAAUGGAGAACUAUUUUGAAGAGUUGUCCACAGAUCAUCACAGCCACACUGUGCACGCACCUUCACCCAGCAUCACAGAAACUUUUGUGUGUACCCAUCAACUCAUCUAGAAGCCAUAGGAUGCUGUUUGCCCUCUGCAUAUAACCUCUUCAUGCUGUUGGUUGUUCCCUAAGGCUCCUGCCAGCCCCUUCAGAAGGAAAGGGGUGGGGAGAAAUGGCCAAGGAGAGCUCCUGGUGCUGCCCCUGCUGCACGGAGGAUGUGACACAACCACGAAGUCACUGAGAUGAUGGUCCGGAGCAGCUGCAUUUUGCUCUGCACAAGAAAAUCCACCUUCAUACCAUCUCUGAUAUCUGGGUGAGCUCAGGUACGUGCAGGCAGGGCAGCCACCUCCCCCGGUACUCAACUCCAGGUCUGAGCUCCUCUCCCCAUAAGAGGGCGAGGGAGGGGAUCCGUGCAAGGCACCGUGCUUGGAGCCCUCUCAGUUCAAAGGUGCCCAAGGAGAUGGAGCUGGCCUAGGGAUGGCUGGAGGCCACACAGACGGGAAGUCACCACAGGUGAAAUCCCUCCCAGCAGCUGGCUUAUGAAAUAAUGCGAGGGGAGGCCGUAAUGAGCUGAAAGCACCCUCAGCUGGAGAUAAAUAUAUGCAAAUGAGAUGCACAAACAAAGGAGCCUGGACAGAGAAAUAUCUGCAAUUCCAGCAAAAUGCUGCCUGCAGCUAGAAGAUGAACAGCUUUGAUAAAAUGCUCCCCACAUGUGUCCGUACGGAUGACUACAGAAAGCAAGCCCCGUCCCUUGCCAUUAGCUGAAACACGGAGAGAAAGGCAGAGCAAGGCAGCACAGCGAUGCCGCGCAGCCCCUACCCUCACGGCAACAUUACAUAGCCCUGCCUAUUAUUUUUACGACGGCCUUUUUCGGUUCCCCCACCACCACUAUCACCCCACCCCACCCUCCAAAAAAAGGGGUUUGGAGGCAGAGUGCAUCUCUCAGCUUUGUUUAAAAGCGGCAUUGCAAUUUUUAGGUCUGCGGUCCCUACGUGCUCCCUGUGCAUUGACCCAGCCGGGCUUUGUUAAAGACAGCCGCGGUGCUGCUCUUCUGCCUUCGCAGGGACAUAGAGAGGGGAGCAGCCCCCAGUCCCCCACUUCCAGAGAUGGCAGGAAGGGUUAAUAACUGCAGGACAGAGGUGGCC